Molecule: ribosomal RNA, 1963 nt
Filed under: Pseudohongiella sp.
Lineage: Bacteria; Pseudomonadati; Pseudomonadota; Gammaproteobacteria; Pseudomonadales; Pseudohongiellaceae
Description: partial 23S ribosomal RNA
Rfam family: Bacterial large subunit ribosomal RNA
Source: RNAcentral
GUACCGUGAGGGAAAGGUGAAAAGAACCCUGGUGAAGGGAGUGAAAUAGAACCUGAAACCGUAUGCCUACAAGCAGUCAGAGCCUUGAAGCAAUUUGGGGUGAUGGCGUGCCUUUUGAUUAAUGAGCCGGCGAGUUACUGGCUGUAGCAAGGUUAAGCGCCUCAGGCGCGGAGCCGCAGGGAAACCGAGUCUUAACAGGGCGAAUGAGUUACAGUUAGUAGACCCGAAGCCAGGUGACCUACCCAUGGUCAGGGUGAAGCGAAGGUAAGACUUCGUGGAGGCCCGAACCGGUGUUUGUUGCAAAAAGCUCGGAUGAACUGUGGGUCGGAGCGAAAGACUAAUCAAACCUGGUGAUAGCUGGUUCUCCCCGAAAUGUAUUUAGGUACAGCCUCUAAGUAGUCGUAGGGGGGUAGGGCACUGGAUGGGUUAGGGCCUCGAAUGGGGUACCAAACCCAACCAAACCACGAAUACCCUAUUGAUGUUCUUAGGGAGUGAGACUGCGGGUGCUAAGAUUCGUAGUCGAGAGGGAAACAGCCCAGACCGUCAGCUAAGGUCCCUAAAGGUGUUCUAAGUGGGAAAGGAUGUAGUGUUGCUUAGACAGCCAGGAUGUUGGCUUAGAAGCAGCCAUCAUUUAAAGAAAGCGUAAUAGCUCACUGGUCAAGCGACACUGCGCCGAAAAUUUAACGGGGCUUAAGUACACUACCGAAGCUACGGAUUCCCGCAAGGGAGUGGUAGGGGAGCAUUCUGCGGACCUGUGAAGGUGAGGCGUGAGCCUUGCUGGAGGGGGCAGAAGAGAUUAUGCCGGCAUAAGUAGCGCAAAUCCUGAUGAAAAGUCAGGACGCCGUAAACCUAAGGUUUCCUGGGGAAGGGAAAUCCGCCCAGGGUUAGUCGGGCCUAAGGCGAGGCCGAAAGGCGUAGCCGAUGGACAACUGGUUAACAUUCCAGUACCAUCUUGUAUGUGUUUGACCGAAGGGGGGACGCAGAAGGACAGUCUGAGCCUGGUGAUGGUUCAGGUCCAAGCACUUAGGCUGGUGAGUAGGUAAAUCCGCUCACCAUUAAAGCUGAUGUGUGAUGGGGAAGCCCGUAAGGGUGAACUCAGGCGAUUCCACACUGACGAGAAAAACCUCGUAGGGAAUAUACAGGAUGACCGUACCGCAAACCGACACUGGUAGGUGAGUAGAAGAUACUAAGGCGAUCGAGAGAACCCUCGCUAAGGAACUCGGCAAAAUAACCCCGUAACUUCGGGAGAAGGGGUCCCCGCGCAAGCGGGGCGCAGUGAAGAGGCCCAGGCGACUGUUUACCAAAAACACAGGUGCCUGCUAACUCGUAAGAGGAUGUAUAGGCACUGACGCCUGCCCGGUGCCGGAAGGUUAACAGGAGGGGUCAUCCGCAAGGAGAAGCCCUGAAUCGAAGCCCCGGUAAACGGCGGCCGUAACUAUAACGGUCCUAAGGUAGCGAAAUUCCUUGUCGGGUAAGUUCCGACCUGCACGAAUGGCGUAACGAUCUGGGCGCUGUCUCGGCGAGGGGCUCGGCGAACUUGAGAUACCGGUGAAGACGCCGGUUACCCGCAACUAGACGGAAAGACCCUGUGCACCUUUACUAUAGCUUGACAGUGAGUUUUGGUGAUAAAUGUGUAGGAUAGGUGGGAGGCUUUGAGGCGUGGGCGCUAGUUCACGCGGAGCCGUCCUUGAAAUACCACCCUUAUCUUACUGGGGCUCUAACCUGUCCCCGUGAUCCGGGGAAGGGACACUGUCUGGUGGGUAGUUUGACUGGGGCGGUCGCCUCCUAAAGAGUAACGGAGGCGUCCAAAGGUCUCCUCAGGCUGGACGGAAACCAGCCGUUGAGUGCAAAGGCAUAAGGUAGCUUGACUGCGAGACCCACAAGUCGAGCAGAAACGAAAGUUGGUCUUAGUGAUCCGGCGGUCCCGCAUGGAAGGGCCGUUGCUCAACGGAUAAAAGGUACG